This 792-nucleotide unclassified non-coding RNA is filed under the name Hevea brasiliensis (rubber tree). The record is from RNAcentral. Lineage: Eukaryota; Viridiplantae; Streptophyta; Magnoliopsida; Malpighiales; Euphorbiaceae.
CGACGCUCUCACUGUUGGCUGGGUCCCUUCCCUCAUGUCUGAGCCGCAGCCGGAUUUUCCUCCGGUGAAAUUGGAACCGCAGGAGAAUUUCUCGGUGUUGCAGGAGAGUUUUGCAGCUCCGGAAAAUAUUGUGCAGCCGCCGGAGGGGAUUGCGACGCAAGCUAAAGCUGCUACGCCUGCCAAGGGGAAGCAUUAUAGGGGAGUCAGGCAGCGGCCAUGGGGGAAGUUCGCUGCUGAGAUUCGAGACCCGGCAAAAAACGGGGCUCGGGUUUGGUUAGGGACAUUCGAGACAGCGGAGGAUGCGGCUUUGGCAUAUGAUCGCGCCGCAUAUAGAAUGCGUGGGUCGAAGGCUUUGUUGAAUUUCCCAUUGAGGGUGAAUUCCGGGGAGCCGGACCCUGUGAGAGUGACUUCGAAGAGGUCAUCACCGGAGCCAUCAUCUUCGACAUCAUCAGGGUCGGAGAGUGGGUCGCCGAAGAGGAGAAAGAAGGGUGUGAGCUCCGCUACGACGAAGGCUUCUGCUACUACAGUAGUGUCUGAUCACGAAGGCAGAUUGAAAAUGGAAAAUGCAGCUAGAUAUCAAGUGGCAUCAAGUACACAUGGCGAGCAGCUAUUGGUUAACCAAUAAUACUCAAAGUGAAUGCUCUGCACAUUGAGUUGCACCAAAAUGAAAGAAGGUUGAUACUGUAGAUUGGAGUUUAACAUUGUCCAUGAGCAUUUUCAUAAAUUUUGGAGUUUCUUGAAAAGCAUAAAAAAGGAAGAAAGGAAUCUGUAUUCACAAGCCAAACAACAAAG